This is a long non-coding RNA of Eurytemora carolleeae, 251 nucleotides long. RefSeq lists it as uncharacterized. NCBI's taxonomy places the organism in Eukaryota, Metazoa, Arthropoda, Copepoda, Calanoida, Temoridae. The record is from RefSeq and is a predicted model, not a curated record. The transcript has 2 exons.
UCUGGAAGAGUAAUUGAUAAACGACCCGGCAGCAUUUUGUAACGUAAUAUAUUGUGGUCCAGAAGAUAAAUUAAUGCAGGUUGCCAUCCUUCCCCCGUUGGGUAGGUCCUGCAUCGUCGUAGUAACUUCAAAAUCUAGUUUUACAACUCUUCAGUGACUUGAGUCCAGUGAGACAGUGAUACAUAAACAAAACUCAUCUUUACCAGAAAAGAUGGUUGCAGAAAUAUUAUCUGGGAAAGAAGUGGCUCAGG